Molecule: small nuclear RNA, 107 nt
Filed under: Catagonus wagneri (Chacoan peccary)
Lineage: Eukaryota; Metazoa; Chordata; Mammalia; Artiodactyla; Tayassuidae
Source: RNAcentral
GUGCUCCCUUCAGUGGCACAUAUACUAAAAUUGGAACAAUACAGAGGAGAUUAGCACAGUCCCUGAGUAAGAAUGACAUGCAAAUUUGUGAAGUGUUUCAUAUUCUU